AGUGAACGCUGGCGGUAGGCCUAACACAUGCAAGUCGAACGGCAGCACAGUAAGAGCUUGCUCUUACGGGUGGCGAGUGGCGGACGGGUGAGGAAUACAUCGGAAUCUACUUUUUCGUGGGGGAUAACGUAGGGAAACUUACGCUAAUACCGCAUACGACCUACGGGUGAAAGCAGGGGAUCUUCGGACCUUGCGCGAUUGAAUGAGCCGAUGUCGGAUUAGCUAGUUGGCGGGGUAAAGGCCCACCAAGGCGACGAUCCGUAGCUGGUCUGAGAGGAUGAUCAGCCACACUGGAACGGAGACACGGUCCAGACUACUACGGGAGGCAGCAGUGGGGAAUAGUGGACAAUGGGCGCAAGCCUGAUCCAGCCAUACCGCGUGGGUGAAGAAGGCCUUCGGGUUGUAAAGCCCUUUUGUUGGGAAAGAAAAGCAGCAGGUUAAUACCCCGCUGUUCUGACGGUACCCAAAGAAUAAGCACCGGCUAACUUCGUG
This 492-nucleotide ribosomal RNA is filed under the name uncultured bacterium. Its description in RNAcentral is "partial 16S ribosomal RNA". It matches the Rfam family "Bacterial small subunit ribosomal RNA", at positions 29 to 507 of the family's 1533-position model. The record is from RNAcentral.